Molecule: non-coding RNA, 135 nt
Organism: Equus caballus (horse)
Lineage: Eukaryota; Metazoa; Chordata; Mammalia; Perissodactyla; Equidae
Source: Rfam
UAGGGCGCAUCUAAGGCCUAAGAUGGCGGCGUUUGCGCCGGAGGCAAGUACUCCAGGCGAACCAGGGGUGGAAACGCGGCCAAAGCACAAAUCUACGAAGGGAAGUCCAGAGACUGGCCCAUUUUUGUGUUGUGG